AUUUCGUCUCUGUUCCUCCCUUCCAAAAACCCAUUUCUAGGGUUCCCAAAAAAUCCACUCUAGUAGCAAAACCAAAGAAAUCUUCCAAAAUCAUCCAUCAAAGAUGCAAGUUAGUGGAGUUAUUUUGAGUGGGUUAUGAUGAAAUCAACGAAUUGAAUCAUUGAAAUCAACGAAUUCAAUCAUCGGAAUCGUGUUCAGUUGUGAGCUGUGCACCUCGACACUUAUCAGCUUCCAAGCUUGCACAAUAUGAGUACCAAGCAGAAACAAUCCAAAAUUUCUUUUGGUGGUAGUUGAUCCAACUUGGGAAUACUGUAAGAUAGUAAUCCCCGGUAAUAAAAAAAUUUUAACUUGCAAUUUUUGUGGUAACAAAUAUCAUGGAGGUAUGUAUAGAAUUAAACACCAUCUUGCACAAACUAGGAAUAACGUGGCUAUUUGUAAGGAGGUUACUCCAGAAGUAAAACAGUUCUUUAUUGCCUAUAUUCAAAAGCUUGAGAAUGAUAAAGAGAAGUGUGAAGAAUCAGGUGAUCAGAAUGGCGACGAAGAUGAGUUAGGGACAAGAGAAAAGUUGAUGAGAGAUGCUCUAAAGGGAACUAAGACACCUAACACACUGAGUACCUACUUCAAGAAGCCUGAGAGAGAUGAUGCUUGUAAGGCUAUAUGUGAUUUUUUUAUGCGAAUGCCGUGCCAUUUAAUGUAGUAACAACAAGUAUUUUAACCAUAGAUUCUAUAUCACUUUGAGUCAGUGACACUUAAACAUUUAUUUAUGAAGCGUAUAUAUAUAUAUAUGUAUGUUAUUUGUUUUUA
Molecule: long non-coding RNA, 804 nt
Organism: Papaver somniferum (opium poppy)
Lineage: Eukaryota; Viridiplantae; Streptophyta; Magnoliopsida; Ranunculales; Papaveraceae
Exons: 2
Source: RefSeq, a predicted model, not a curated record